Non-coding RNA from Triticum urartu, 5712 nucleotides. Lineage: Eukaryota; Viridiplantae; Streptophyta; Magnoliopsida; Poales; Poaceae. The record is from RefSeq and is a predicted model, not a curated record.
GUUCAUUUUUUGUCACGUUAUGGUAUUUCUCCCAUUUCCCCUUUUGCACUCGCACUCGCUCUCUCCCCGACCACACGCUCUCUCCCGGCCAACACUCUCUCCCGACGACCACUCGCUCCUCCCCGUCCAGAUCCUUUGUGCCGCCGGCCAGUCACCACCCUCUCCCUCUCGUCGGUGUCUUCCUCACUGCCGCCUUGCUCCUCGCCACCCCUAAAACUAGCAACCCGUCUCCCCCUCGUCGGUCAAAGGUGAAAUUUUUACCAGCCGGGGUGCUCGAUCUGUGGGCGGCGGUGCUCGAUCCGUGUUGGAGCAGCGGGAGGAGGAGGGCAGUUUUGGAUUGGAGCAGUGGUGCUGGACCAGAGCAGUGGGAAUAGGGGGGUGGUGCCGGCCGCUCUUACUUUGUGUAGUCCUCUUCGCUCUCGUCAUGCCGUUGCCACCGCCGAGGAAGACGGAGAGCCUGUCGGAGGGAGGAGCGCCAUGGCCAGUUCUGACCUCCUCUGUCCAGAUCCAGCUCCAGCAAUCAUCCCCUCUUGCUGCUUGCUCUCUCAAUUUCAAGACUGAAGAAGAGAACAUGGGGAGCAGCAGCUGCCCUCUGCUCUGCUCUUAUGCGAAUGCUCUACUGCAGGACCAUGGCAGCGAUGCUCGCCGAAGCGGACGACAACCACUCCCGUGCAAACAAAGGUGAGCAUUCAGGAAAAGAACAGUUGGCUGAACUUCAGGAAAAAGAUACACCGAAUCUUAGUAAGCGGAUACUCAUAGCCGAAUUCUUUUGGAUGCACAUAUAGUUUGUAUCGCAACUUAAAUAAUGACAGUAAAUAAACUCUCAAUUGCACUGUCCAGUAAUUGAAAAUAAAUUACACCUUUUCAGUUAAUUUAAAUUAACUGAAACCUUUUGUACUCCCAUGAUCAGUGUUACUGUACAGUAAUUAACACCGAAUUUGUAAGUGCAAGUAGUGCUUGUUUUCAGGAGUAGGAUGCUGAUCAAUAGUGCUUGUUUGGAGUAAUUGUUUGCUCUGUAGUGCAUUUUUGCUGCAACCUAAUCUGUGGAGUAUCAAGCUAAUUGGAAGAAAGCCAAUUGCUUGCUCUGUAGGAACUUUUAUGUGCUGGAGUAUAGGAUUUGCUGUUUAGCAAGGCUUUGAGUAAUUCUACUCACUUCUCUUCUCUUUAGUAAAUUAAAUUUAGGAGUAGGAGUAGUUCUUAGAACUACUAUGCACCUUAAAACUACUCCUGUUAAAUAACUGAAACUACUCUGCACCUUAGAACUACUCCUGUUAAUUAACUGAAAAAACUUUUUUAAGUUAAUUAACUUAAUUUCUUUCUGUUAGGAGUAGGAGUAGUUCUUGGAGUAGGAAGAGGAGCAGUGCGAAGAAUUCUCUUAUCUUCUCUUACUCUUCUCUUCUCUACUCUCGCUCUCUUCCCUUCGCUUCUCUUCUCUUUCUCUUCUCUUUUCAGUAGUCUGCUCCAAAAUUCUGCAAUGAGGCCCGUGUUUCCACUGCUAUUUAUUUUCUAAAUCACAUUUUCAGUUUUGCAAAUUCUGCAAUUUUGCACAUGAAGCUUCAGAUUUUAGCACAUGAAGCUUCUGCUACUGUUAAUCUUGUCAUGAAUCUUCUGUUGACUUGGUACAUUAGCUUAAAAUGAAUCUUUUCCUUUAAGUAAAACUAAAUGAAACUUUUUUUGUUAAUUUAACAGUUGCUGACUUGCAGUAGUAUAGCACUUGCAGUAGUGUAGGACAUUAGUAGUUUAGUGUAGGACAGCAAUAGUUUGGUGUAAGUUUCAGUUCAUUAACUGAAUUUUUUCAGUUACUUAACUGAAACUUUUUCAGUUACAGCAGGACUUCUCUUCUCUCUUCUUCUCUCUUCUCUUUCUCUUCUUGCAUCUGUAGUUUAGUGUACUUCCCUUGUGCCCUCCAUACUCCUCUCCUCUCCCACUCAUUUCCUCUCCUACUACUUUGCUUGUUCUCUUCUUCUCUAAAUUAUCUUAUCAUCUCUAAAUUCACUCAUCUUGUCUCCUACUACUCUCUUCUCUUCUCUUUCAUUUAAAUGGAGUACUCCACACAAGCAAAUGAAUUACACAUACAAGUCUCACAAAAUGGAAAAAAAAUAUGGAGUAAAAAUGAUCACAAAAUGGAGUUACACAUACAAGCCUCACAAAAUGGAGUAUUACACAUAUGGAGUAAUUUCACAUGGGAUGCACUCCGCACAAGUCUCAUCUCAAGGAACUACACAUACUCCACAUCUGAACAAGCCUCAUGUCAAGCCUCGGAACAAGCCUCAUCUCAAGCAUCUGAACAAGCUCAUCUCAAGCAUCUGAACAAGCCUCAUGUCAAGAAUCGGAACAAGCCUCAUCUCAAGCAUCUGAACAAGCCUCAUGUCAAGCAUCGGAACAAGCCUCAUCUCAAGCAUCUGAACAAGCCUCAUGUCAAGCAUCGGAACAAGCCUCAUCUCAAGCAUCCGAACAAGCCUCAUCUCAAGCAUCCGAACAAGCCUCAUCACUGAACCCUCCCCAUUACCUCUAAGUUGUAUAGGGCAUUCGUGUAAACCUCUUUCAGGCAUGUUAGUCUUGGAGGUAGCUGCCCAAGACCCUCAAGCCUUUCCUUGUUAACAUGUGGUAUUUUAUACGCAUUUCCCACCGCAUGGUUCAUGAUCUCAAUCAUGCACAUUUGUAGAGUUAGGAAAAUUCUGUUGAGCUUGUAAACAUCAUAGCCUUCAAAUUCCUCCAAAACACCUGCAAUAAGGUCUUGUAGUGUUUUAGGACUCAGACAAUCUGUCAGCGAUUGCAGCGAGUUGAAAAACCCAAGGUCAAGCACAUUCAAAUCAGGACUGUUGGCAGGCUGUUGUACUAAUCUAAUGUCAAGUCCAGUUUUUGCGACAGCUGCUAGAAAUUCCUGGUCAUCUGGCAAGAUAUGGGGCUUAGCAUUAUCCUGCUGAAUGUAGAUGGUCUGUCCCAGCAUCACUUUCCAGCCAAACUGCUUGUAUCGCUGGCAAGACUUUCUCUAUCAGGAACUCCCUCAUCACUUUUCUAUCGACCUUUAUUGACUUUGUCUCUAUUGUACCUCUGGGCCUGUUGUCGCUUCUCCUCUGAGCAGGAACUUCUUUCACGAAUGGCCAGAUACCGGUUUUCCUAGAGAAGGUCAUGUUUCCUUCGCUGUCCCACCUUGGCCUAGCAACGGCCGUUAAAAACAUCACCUUGCCAAUACAGUUGCCGUGUAUAGGCCUCGUAGGCUCUUCCUCCCCAUCUAGCAGAUAAUAUGUUCUAUUCUUCUUUGUCAUGUUAAACCACUUCUCGUCAAUAUGGACAACGUUAUGCAUAGUCUUGAACUUAGGCCUCGCAGUUGCUGUUGUUGCCUCAUCAAGCAUCGACAAACAAAAAUUCAUCCUAUCCAUCUUAUUCUUUUCCUUUAAAGCCGGCUUCACACAGUUUGUAUGCCUCCUAAUCAAAUUUAGCAUGAACUUUCUAUGAAGUGUAGUAGGGCUACAUCCCAGUUGCCAGGCUAGUGAUCUAAUAGUAGACCUCCUAUUUAAUGGGAUUGUUAGGGUUUUUUCUAGGUUAAUGUCCUUAGGCUUUCUUCCAGAAUUUCCUUUUCUCUGAUCGGCAACAUCUACCUCUUGACCUUGUUGAAUUUGCAACAUUGCUUUCCUCCAAAUUCUUUGUAUAUUCCAAACACCCACUGCAAAAAAAUUUGCAAUAUCUUGCGUAUCGGUUUUCUUAAAAGUGCCUCCUCUACUCAUACACAGUGUAUGCAAUGCUACAUAAGCAGCAAAUUUUUGCUGGUCAUUGAGGGUUUUAUUUUUUCUACCAACUUGUCCAGCACCUGCACCAAGACAUACAACAAAGAAAUGAUUAAAUGAAAUGAUCAAGUGAUGAAGUGAUGGACUGAUCAAGUGAUGAAAUGAUGGAAUGAUCAAGUGUAACUGUACCUGGAUUUUGAACAAUUUCAUCUCCUUCCAUUCCCUCUCCGGCAUCUCCUUCCAUAUCAUCUCCUACAUGUCCUUCCAUUUCAUUUUCUGCAUUUUCAUCCACAUCUUCUGCAGGUGGAGUGAAGUUGAGGUCUGGGAGAUCCAUUUUCUCCUGAAGAUAUGAAUAUGUAAGAUGAAGUAGAAGUAGAAGUAGAAGUAGAAGUAGAAGUAGAAGUAGAAGUACAAGAAGAAGAAGAAGAAGAAGUACAUAUAAAUUCAGUCUGUGUACUGUCAAUUGUUGUAUGUUUACUAUCAAAGCAAGAAUUAGUCAAUUGCUGUCUGUUUACUGUCAAAGCAAGAAAGACAAUAUUAUUAUGGUCAAUUGUUGUCCGUUUACUGUCAAAGCAAGAAUUAGUUUCCUAGGUUAAUGAAACAUUACCAGCCAUAAUUAGUUUUCUGUAUCUUAAUUAUCUCUGGACAUUUUUGCCUGAAAACUGAAUGUACAAUGUUUCUGUAGAUAAUUUGGUCGAAAAGGGACGACAUGCUGAGGUGUACAACAUUCAGUUUCUCUUUCGACAUGCUGAGCUCUAUAAGUGCUCACAUUCUUUGUAUGGAUCUUAUUGAAUAAGUACUUGUUAACAUUGGUACCAUUUUCUUCAGAUUUUCGUUGGUGGUCUUCUGAUUGAUUUGGAAGGAAGAAUUGUUGGUAUGAAUUUCAUAGACGAGAAUAAAACUCCCUUUUUGCCCGUCCAGAUUGUUGGGAGAUGCCUGAAACACUUCAGAAAUUUGGGACACUUCUUUCCUGUAUAUGGGACGAUUGCUUGAAGGAUUUGGUGUUGGUGUCAUAUCCUACAUGUUUUGACAGGUGAACAGAUGGACAGUGGCUGCUCCUUGCUGAUCAAUUCAAAAUUGCUCUGGCUAUCAAUUCAAGCUUGUUGUGACUGGUGAGAAGACGUCCUGGUCAAUCACCACAUCUGAUCAAUUUCUGUCUGUGGCGAGAAGAAGUGGUACAACUCCGGCGAUCAAUUUCUUUGGCGAUUAACAAUUUGGAUCAAUUCAAACAGCAACACAGGCAGCGCUAGUGCUGCUGUUGGUCAGUGCGGGGAGGAGCACGGGCGGAGGUCAAUUGGCCGGAUCCGGAGGUCCAGUGCCUGAAUCGAGGAGCUGGAAGGCUGAGGCAGGAGGAGGAGCACAGGCUGCACUGCUGCUGCUGUUGGUUAGUGCGGGGAGGAGCACGGACGGAGGUCAAUUGGCCGGAUCCGGAGCUCCAGUGCCUGAAUCGAGGAGCUGGAAGGCUCAGGCAGGAGGAGGAGGAGCACGGGCGGCGCUGCUGCUGGUCGGUGCGGGGAGGAGCAUGGGCGGCGCGAAGGCCAGGAGUCGCGGGCGGCGCGACGGCCAGGAGUCGCGGGCGGCUGGAGGCUGUGGCGGAUGGCGAGGGAGUUGCGUACAAGUUUGGGCUCUUGAUUGGAGCGGAGGAAGGUGGCCGACGAGGAGCUGCGACCGGCGCGGACGGACGCCGGAGGUGCAGCAGUGGGAUGGAGCCUGGCGGAGGGGAGGAGCGAUGGAGUAAGAUGAAGAUCCCCGGCGACAAGAAUUUCAAAUUGAGGGUAGUUUAGUAGUUUAUCAUGUUUUCACCUGGUCGGAAAAGUUCCCCAACGACAACUAUGUCGGAACAGGGGGAGUGCAUGAAUGGAGUUGGUUGUACAGUGCAAUUUUGCGUGACCCAAAACAGACGAAAGGGAAAAGGAGAGGUGUUCGUUUGAUUGGAAACCUUGUGUUCGUACUAGUAAUGCAAUAACAUAUUAUAUUUUAUUCA